GAUGAACGCUGGCGGCGUGCCUAAUACAUGCAAGUCGAGCGAACAGACGAGGAGCUUGCUCCUCUGACGUUAGCGGCGGACGGGUGAGUAACACGUGGAUAACCUACCUAUAAGACUGGGAUAACUUCGGGAAACCGGAGCUAAUACCGGAUAAUAUAUUGAACCGCAUGGUUCAAUAGUGAAAGACGGUUUUGCUGUCACUUAUAGAUGGAUCCGCGCCGCAUUAGCUAGUUGGUAAGGUAACGGCUUACCAAGGCGACGAUGCGUAGCCGACCUGAGAGGGUGGUCGGCCACACUGGAACUGAGACACGGUCCAGACUCCUACGGGAGGCAGCAGUAGGGAAUCUUCCGCAAUGGGCGAAAGCCUGACGGAGCAACGCCGCGUGAGUGAUGAAGGUCUUCGGAUCUUAAAACUCUGUUAUUAGGGAAGAACAAAUGUGUAAGUAACUAUGCACGUCUUGACGGUACCUAAUCAGAAAGCCACGGCUAACUACGUG
RNAcentral lists this ribosomal RNA (497 nucleotides) under uncultured bacterium. RNAcentral's name for it is "partial 16S ribosomal RNA". It matches the Rfam family "Bacterial small subunit ribosomal RNA", at positions 28 to 507 of the family's 1533-position model. The record is from RNAcentral.